UACGUAGGUGGCGAGCGUUAUCCGGAAUUACUGGGUGUAAAGGGAGCGCAGGCGGGGCGACAAGUCAGCUGUGAAAACUAUGGGCUUAACUCAUAGACUGCAGUUGAAACUGUUGCUCUUGAGUGGAGUAGAGGCAAGCGGAAUUCCGAGUGUAGCGGUGAAAUGCGUAGAUAUAGGAAGGAACAUCAGUGGCGAAGGCGACCACCUGGACUGAUACUGACACUGAGGUGCGAAAGCAUGGGGAGCGAACA
This 251-nucleotide ribosomal RNA is filed under the name uncultured prokaryote. RNAcentral's name for it is "partial 16S ribosomal RNA". It matches the Rfam family "Bacterial small subunit ribosomal RNA", at positions 524 to 774 of the family's 1533-position model. The record is from RNAcentral.